This 376-nucleotide ribosomal RNA is filed under the name uncultured bacterium. RNAcentral describes it as "bacterial SSU rRNA". It matches the Rfam family "Bacterial small subunit ribosomal RNA", at positions 521 to 896 of the family's 1533-position model. The record is from RNAcentral.
UAAGACAGAGGGGGCAAGCGUUGCUCGGAAUUACUGGGCGUAAAGGGCGCGUAGGCGGGAUGGCAAGUCGGUCGUGAAAUCCCUCGGCUCAACUGAGGAUCGUCGAUCGAUACUGCCGUUCUUGAGGAUUGCAGAGGAGACUGGAAUUCCCGGUGUAGCGGUGAAAUGUGUAGAGAUCGGGAGGAACACCGGUGGCGAAGGCGGGUCUCUGGGCAAUUCCUGACGCUGAGGCGCGAAAGCGUGGGGAGCAAACGGGAUUAGAUACCCCGGUAGUCCACGCUGUAAACGAUGACGACUAGGUGUGGGGGGUUCAGUCCCUUCCGUGCCGCAGCUAACGCAUUAAGUCGUCCGCCUGGGGAGUACGGCCGCAAGGUUG